Mus musculus (house mouse) is the source of this 458-nucleotide long non-coding RNA. RefSeq annotates it as predicted gene, 53178. NCBI's taxonomy places the organism in Eukaryota, Metazoa, Chordata, Mammalia, Rodentia, Muridae. The record is from RefSeq and is a predicted model, not a curated record. The transcript has 4 exons.
UGCAAGCACUUUUAUUGUCACUCAGCUAAGAUGGUAUUGCUUGGGUUCUGGUGGCUCCUAUCUGUCUAUCUUCUGUUCUGGUGUUGUGAUGCCAGGCCACUAGUGAGUCAGAUCGACUACAACUCGUGUGAUUGUCCGGACAAGGGCCGUCAUAUUCAUCUCUGCAAGGAAGUUCAGAUAUUGUGUCCAGUUCUGGAAUCUUGGGAAGUUUAUAAGUGGGGAUAAUAUUAAGUGUGGAUGAUACGGAAAUGAUGUUUCAAUGGAAAAAACCUGGAGUUUGUGUCCUUUCUCAAGACAUUGACAAGGACAUAAUGGAGGAUGUGGAGAACAGAAUCUUAUAUGUCACCUCAAAUAUAUAUAAGAAUCUUGCUAAGGAUCCUGAGUUGAGACAUGGCUACAUUGUCUCUACAGUCUCUGAAGCACUAAACUUUCCUUGUCAUGUUUCAUGGUAAUAUGUU